Molecule: ribosomal RNA, 497 nt
Filed under: uncultured bacterium
Lineage: Bacteria
Description: partial 16S ribosomal RNA
Rfam family: Bacterial small subunit ribosomal RNA
Source: RNAcentral
GAUGAACGCUGGCGGCGUGCCUAAUACAUGCAAGUCGAGCGAACGGACGAGAAGCUUGCUUCUCUGAUGUUAGCGGCGGACGGGUGAGUAACACGUGGAUAACCUACCUAUAAGACUGGGAUAACUUCGGGAAACCGUAGCUAAUACCGGAUAAUAUUUUGAACCGCAUGGUUCAAAAGUGAAAGACGGUCUUGCUGUCACUUAUAGAUGGAUCCGCGCUGCAUUAGCUAGUUGGUAAGGUAACGGCUUACCAAGGCAACGAUGCAUAGCCGACCUGAGAGGGUGAUCGGCCACACUGGAACUGAGACACGGACCAGACUCCUACGAGAGGCAGCAGUAGGGAAUCUUCCGCAAUGGGCGAAAGCAUGACGGAGCAACGCCGAGUGAGUGAUGAAGGUCUUCGGAUCGUAAAACUCUGUUAUUAGGGAAGAACAUAUGUGUAAGUAACUGUGCACAUCUUGACGGUACCUAAUCAGAAAGCCACGGCUAACUACGUG